RNAcentral lists this unclassified non-coding RNA (388 nucleotides) under soil metagenome. Its description in RNAcentral is "partial contains 5.8S ribosomal RNA, internal transcribed spacer 2, and large subunit ribosomal RNA". The stretch from base 1 to 120 matches the Rfam family "5.8S ribosomal RNA", at positions 35 to 154 of the family's 154-position model. The record is from RNAcentral.
GAUGAAGAACGUAGCGAAAUGCGAUAAGUAAUGUGAAUUGCAGAGUUCAGUGAAUCAUCGAAUCUUUGAACGCACCUUGCGCUCCUUGGUAUUCCGAGGAGCAUGCCUGUUUGAGUGUCAUUAAAUUCUCAACCUCACCAGUUUUGUAACGAGACAGGUGAAGGCUUGGAUGUGGGGGUUUUGCAGGCUGCCUCAGUGCUGGUCUGCUCUCCUGAAAUGCAUUAGCGAGCUCAUAUUGAGCUUCCGUCUAUUGGUGUGAUAAUUAUCUACGCCGUGGAUUGGACUCAUGCUUGCUUCUAACCGUCCGCAAGGACAAUUUACUUGACCAAUUUGACCUCAAAUCAGGUAGGACUACCCGCUGAACUUAAGCAUAUCAAUAAGCGGAGGA